Molecule: ribosomal RNA, 497 nt
Filed under: uncultured bacterium
Lineage: Bacteria
Description: partial 16S ribosomal RNA
Rfam family: Bacterial small subunit ribosomal RNA
Source: RNAcentral
GAUGAACGCUGGCGGCGUGCCUAAUACAUGCAAGUCGAGCGAACGGACGAGAAGCUUGCUUCUCUGAUGUUAGCGGCGGACGGGUGAGUAACACGUGGAUAACCUACCUAUAAGACUGGGAUAACUUCGGGAAACCGGAGCUAAUACCAGAUGAUAUUUUGAACCGCAUGGUUCAAAAGUGAAAGACGGUCUUGCUGUCACUUAUAGAUGGAUCCACGCUGCAUUAGCUAGUUGGUAAGGUAACGGCUUACCAAGGCAACGAUGCAUAGCCGACCUGAGAGGGUGAUCGGCCACACUGGAACUGAGACACGGUCCAGACUCCUACGGGAGGCAGCAGUAGGGAAUCUUCCGCAAUGGGCGAAAGCCUGACGGAGCAACGCCGCGUGAGUGAUGAAGGUCUUCGGAUCGUAAAACUCCGUUAUUAGGGAAGAACAUAUGUGUAAGUAACUGUGCACAUCUUGACGGUACCUAAUCAGAAAGCCACGGCUAACUACGUG